UUUUUUAUUGGUCACAUUUAGUGUGUGGAACCGGCUUUCCAGACUGUCUCGCAGGAACAGAGUCUGAAGAUGAGAAGUGGAAAAAAAAACUUCCAAGAAAUAUAUUGUCAGAGGGAAUCUCAAGUCUGCUGUUUAUUCCUGUUUGCCAAAGUGCUGCCUUUAAAGUGUCAAUACAAUACCGUUUUUAAAUGACAUUAAUUCAGAGGCAAAUAAUUUACUGGAGGGUUGAAUCUAUUAGUUUGACAAGCUUGCUUCCAUGUUAUUCACAUAUUGGCUUUAAAGAAAUGGCAUAAGCUUAAUAGCUUCUUAAAACAAUAGAACAUAAAAAAACAAGACAGAACGUUCUGUUGAAUGUUUUUGCAGCCUUAAUCCCUGAAAAGCAACAAUUUGUACUGUUUCAUCAUGUUCACUUUGGUUUGGUUUGUCAACACAUAAGUUUAUGAGGAGAAAAAAAACUUAUUCUUUAUUCACCAUCUACUGGCAUGUGAUAUUAGAGGCAGUUUGUUGGUUUUCUAACUUGAACCAGUGGAAACACUGUGUGGAUGUGUGAUUUCGAUUAAUAAUUUAAACUCAUCUUUUAUAAAGCUUGGCACCAAAUCUAAAAGCGUUUUAGAUAUUUCUUAAAACAGUUUCUCCAUCAAAAUACCAAAGAAAAUCAA
Micropterus salmoides (largemouth bass) is the source of this 659-nucleotide long non-coding RNA. RefSeq lists it as uncharacterized. Lineage: Eukaryota; Metazoa; Chordata; Actinopteri; Centrarchiformes; Centrarchidae. The transcript is spliced from 3 exons. The record is from RefSeq and is a predicted model, not a curated record.